RNAcentral lists this transfer RNA (1030 nucleotides) under cyanobacterium DC-7. Its description in RNAcentral is "16-23S ribosomal RNA intergenic spacer". The stretch from base 405 to 477 matches the Rfam family "tRNA". The record is from RNAcentral. Lineage: Bacteria; Bacillati; Cyanobacteriota.
CAGGGAGACACAACUGAUCGUGAUGUCUGAGCGCCGACCAAGCGUAAGUUUGGGAAGCACCUUUGUCUCAGGCCACGGUCCUGUCAUCUCGAAGGUCGAUCGGUACCUCAAGGUGAGCUAUCAAAGCCAAGGUAGAAGCCAGAGAGCUCGAGAGAGCAGGAUGGAGGAAGCCAAGGAUGUUGUGAUGGACUCGUUUUCAGUUCCUAAACUUUGUCUAGGUCACCCCACCAAGGGUUUUGCCAGACAUCCAGUGUUUCGGAUCCCGCCAGGGAGAGGAAGCCAUGGGUGAUUGGAGGAACCACUGUCAGAGUGAUUGUUCCUGGGCCAUUAGCUCAGGUGGUUAGAGCGCACCCCUGAUAAGGGUGAGGUCCCUGGUUCAAGUCCAGGAUGGCCCAUUCGUGUUUGGGGGUUUAGCUCAGUUGGUAGAGCGCCUGCUUUGCAAGCAGGAUGUCAGCGGUUCGAGUCCGCUAACCUCCAUCCAGCUAGGUUAAGACCACAACAUGAAGCUGCAUCAGGAGGAAUUCUGAUGGGUGAAGUGACCGGACAUGUUCAGCUGAGGACUCCAGCCUCCUUUCAUUCCCAAAGAAUGGAUUCAUCGUAUUAGAUGAGUUUCAUUUUGUGAUGGUUGAAAGGAAGCUGGACUCGCUGAUCAUCAUUUUGCUUGCUCAUGAGAUCAUGUUCAAGGGAAAUGAUGCAUCGGUGUAGCCAGCAAAGAACCUUGACAACUGCAUAGGUGAGUCUGGAAAAGAAAGCAUCUCAUGGAUGCCCAGACGGACGUGGAGGGAUCCUGGUAACCCCGGGUGAAGGCUGCGGCUGACUGGGAGAUUCUUGAGUUUAGAGCCGAGAGCUUCCAGCGUCUUUUCGCUCCGCCGAGGAGGGAAGAGUCAGAUUCUGCAUUUCAAACCGCUUGCGUUUGAGGGGACGAGAGACGCGACGGGCAACCGCAGCGGUGGAUGGUUUCAUGAAAAGCGAAAGCAGGUGAAAGCAGGAGAAUGGGUCUCAACAACCCUGAACGUUGGAAGUGUUAAUU